This is a long non-coding RNA of Coccinella septempunctata (seven-spotted ladybird), 441 nucleotides long. RefSeq lists it as uncharacterized. The transcript has 3 exons. The record is from RefSeq and is a predicted model, not a curated record. Lineage: Eukaryota; Metazoa; Arthropoda; Insecta; Coleoptera; Coccinellidae.
AAGAUUGUGAUGCUCAUUGUGAAAAAAUUCGUGAAUAAUUUUGACGAACUUUAUUGUUGAAUUCCCUUACACCAAAGAUGCUUUGUCGAUGAACCCCAUCUGACAUCCCUGUAACAAACCCUCGGACCGUUUGGCAAUCUCAAGAAUAUCAAGCAAGCAAUGUAUCAUCAAAUCUUACAUAAGUACAAUCCGCAAUCUUAGACAAUAUGGGCAUUUAAAUUUGAGGAGGAGUUAACAUCUUGCUGAGAAUUCGGUAUAAUUCUGCCGGAAACCCACGACCAUAAUUGAUUUAAUUACAUUGUGUUAAUUAGAGCAGCUCCCCGAAAGCAAUUGGAUACAACCCCUUUCACAAUAACUGAAUGCUACGUUUAUUUUGGGCUCUGAAUAUCCGAUCUUCGAGAUUUUACUUGAUUCACUCAGUUUAUAGGAUAAAUGCACCAA